UUUAGCUUGGUAUUAAGUAAUCCUUAAUUGGGACAUCAUCUGUUAAAAUGCGUAGAUUCAACUGUAUUCCAAUAUUAGUGUGUUAAAUAUUAUACCUACAAUUUAUGUCCAAGAACCGAAUAGACGUCUGACUGACAAAAGCAUAUAUUGGGAAUUAUUAUACUAGGGAGAGGAACUCGGCAAAUAAUAAGCUCGCCUGUUUACCAAAAACAUCGCUUUUAGAUAGCUAUUAAAAGUCUUAUCUGCCCGGUGUAUUAUUAACGGCCGCGGUAUCUUGACUGUGCUAAGGUAGCAUAAUCACUUGCCCUUUAAAUGGGGGAAUGUAUGAAUGAUUAGACGAAGUUUAAGCUGUCUUUCCCUUUAUAAUCGAGAUUUCAUCGCUUGUGAAAAUGCAAGCAGACACUCAAAGGACGAGAAGACCCUGUUGAGUUUCUGAGCGUAACAAAAGUACAUAUUAACUAAAUAACACUAGAUAAAACAUAGUACCUAAAGUAAAGCUCUUUGGCUGGGGUGGCACGCAAAGAAAUUAAGCUUUCCGUAAAUAUUCUUGAAGUUAAAGACUCCUUAGGUCAAUAACCCUUCUACCGACCCGCUACUAGCGAUUCAAAGACCAAAUUACCACAGGGAUAACAGCGUUAUUCUUUUUGAGAGCUCAAAUUGACAAAAGAGUUUGCGACCUCGAUGUUGGAUCAAGACUCCUGGUGGUGCAACCGUUACCACGGGUUUGCCUGUUCGGCGAUUAAAAUCUUACGUGAUCUGAGU
This 762-nucleotide ribosomal RNA is filed under the name Asymmetron lucayanum. RNAcentral's name for it is "partial 16S rRNA". It matches the Rfam family "Archaeal large subunit ribosomal RNA", at positions 1637 to 2679 of the family's 2987-position model. The record is from RNAcentral. Lineage: Eukaryota; Metazoa; Chordata; Leptocardii; Amphioxiformes; Branchiostomatidae.